This 522-nucleotide ribosomal RNA is filed under the name uncultured Methylophilus sp. Its description in RNAcentral is "bacterial SSU rRNA". It matches the Rfam family "Bacterial small subunit ribosomal RNA", at positions 8 to 526 of the family's 1533-position model. Lineage: Bacteria; Pseudomonadati; Pseudomonadota; Betaproteobacteria; Nitrosomonadales; Methylophilaceae. The record is from RNAcentral.
AGAGUUUGAUCCUGGCUCAGAUUGAACGCUGGCGGAAUGCUUUACACAUGCAAGUCGAGCGGCAGCAUGGACUUCGGUCUGAUGGCGAGCGGCGAACGGGUGAGUAACAUAUAGGAACAUACCCAGUAAUGGGGGAUAACUCCGAGAAAUCGGAGCUAAUACCGCAUACGCCCUGAGGGGGAAAGCGGGGGAUCUUCGGACCUCGCGUUAUUGGAAUGGCCUAUAUCUGAUUAGCUAGUUGGUGAGGUAAAGGCUCACCAAGGCGACGAUCAGUAGCUGGUCUGAGAGGAUGAUCAGCCACACUGGAACUGAGACACGGUCCAGUCUCCUACGGGAGGCAGCAGUGGGGAAUUUUGGACAAUGGGCGAAAGCCUGAUCCAGCCAUUCCGCGUGAGUGAAGAAGGCCUUCGGGUUGUAAAGCUCUUUCGGCAGGAAAGAAAUUGCCGCUUCUAAUACAAACGGUAGAUGACGGUACCUGAAGAAGAAGCACCGGCUAACUACGUGCCAGCAGCCGCGUAAUAC